CUUGAUUCUUUUGGUAUGUCAUAGCCAUUAACCUUGCUGUCUUCCCUUGCAUAGUGAGGAACCAACAGUGGAGCCACUGGAUGCAUCCUGAAGGUUUCCUUUACAACCAUGUCGAGAUAUUCGAGUUUGUCCAGUUCUGAAAGUAUCCACUCAACUGAUGAUGCUGAUGAGUCCAUUGAACCUAUGAGCAAGUCCUGCACAUCAUAAUGGCCUUGACAUGACGCCGGUCAAACUGAAAUUCAGCUUGACCACUUUGCAUUAUGGACAUCAUGGUAUCAACGAUAUCUUUGGUCUGGUCAUGACGAUCCCCUGCUCGAACAUGGUCUUCUAUAAUUUUCUCAAAGAAAUCAUCAAAAACUUCUGCAAGUGCCUUCAUCUUCCUUGUCAGACCUUGGAGAUCCAGGACUCCAAGGAAAGGAAAGUAAUCACCCAAAUUGGGAGCUGCAGCUAGUUUCAUCACUUCUUGGAUCACAGUUUUGAAGCCUCUCUCAUCUAUGUCUUUGUCAUCAUAUUUCUUGCCAAACACCAUCCUGCAGCCUGUCUCUGCAGUCAGGGACCAGACCUUGGCACUAAGAUCGACAGCAACAUGUAGUCUGGAAGCUUCCUUGAUGGAUUCAACAAAAAGACCAAUCUCUUCCCUUCUCAUUGGUUGGAAAGAAUUGAUCUUAUGGUUGCUGAGCAGCUCCAAGGUGCAUAACUUGCGCAUGUUCCGCCAGUAUGGACCAUACUCCCCGAACGACAAGUUCCUCUGAUCCCAUGACACAUAUUUAGAGCCCUGAUGAGGUGGUCUGCUGGCAAAAACAAGGUCAUGCGUCUUGAGGAAAAUCUCAGCUGCCUCAGGAGAUGAGACAACGAUGUUUGGAACGAAUCCAAAUUGCAUAUACAUAAUGGGGCCGUGGUCUUUGGCAAUUCUUUGCAGAUCUUGGUGAGGAUUCUUCCCCAGCAUGUGUAGAUGUCCCAGAAUAGGGAUCCCAUUUGGACCUGGAGGCAGUCUUCCCGUCUUCUUCCUCCUCCUCGCCAACGAAACAAAAGAACCAGCUAAAAUGGCCACGACAGUAAGCCAAAACCAAGAAGCAAAUUCUUACAAGUUUGCUAUAAAAGCUAGUUCUGCAACCGGAAGGUAGGGAUUGCCAUGAGAUGAUUGGUCCUUGAAACAACAAUGCCAAAUUCCUCUUUUAUGCCCAGCUCCUCUGGCAACAUAUCAUUUGGCAGCUUCCAGUCGAAGCAGUGGACUAAUUGUGACACGAUUAACUGAACUUGAAUGAGCCCCAGUUGGAUUCCAGGGCGACCUCUCCUCCCAGAGCCAAAUGGGAGGAGCUGGAAAUGUUGUCCCCUAACAUCAAUGUCACUGCCAGUGAACCUCUCUGGAAUGAACAUCUCGGCAUCAAUCUAUACAUUUGGAUCGCGCCCAAUUGCAUAUGUGUCGACGAUUAUUCUUGAUUCUUUUGGUAUGUCAUAGCCAUUAACCUUGCUGUCUUCCCUUGCAUAGUGAGGAACCAACAGUGGAGCCACUGGAUGCAUCCUGAAGGUUUCCUUUACAACCAUGUCGAGAUAUUCGAGUUUGUCCAGUUCUGAAAGUAUCCACUCAACUGAUGAUGCUGAUGAGUCCAUUGAACCUAUGAGCAAGUCCUGCACAUCAUAAUGGCCUUGACAUGAUGCCGGUCGAACUGAAACUCACACUCUCCACUCUGCAUUAUGGACAUCAUGGUAUCAACAAUGUCUUUGGCCUGCUCAGGAUGAGAUCCAGCUCGAACAUGGUCUUCUAUAACUUUCUCAAAGAAAUCAUCAAAAACUUUUGCGAGUGCCGUCAUCUUCCUUGUCAGCCCUUGAAGAUCCAAGACUCCAAGGAAAGGAAAGUAAUCACCCAAAUUGGGAACUGCUGAUAGUUUCAUCGCUUCUUGGAUCACAGCUUCGAAUCCUCUCUCACCUAUGUCUUUGUCAUCAAUCAUCAUAUUUCUUACCAAACACCAUUCUGCAGCUCAUCUCUGCCGUCAGGGAUGCGACCUUGGCACUAAGAUCGACCACAGUGUGUAGUCUGCAAGCUUCCUUAAGGGAUUCAACAAAAUAACCAAGCUCUUCCCUUCUCAUAGGUCGGAAAGAAUUGAUCUUAAAGGUGCUGAGCAGCUCUAAGGUACAUAGCUUGCACAUGUUCCGCCAAUACGGACUGUAAGCCCCAAAUACCAGAUUCCUUUGAUCCCAUGCCAGAUACUUAGCAGCCUGAUGAAGUGGUCUGCUGGCAAAAACAAGAUCGUGUGUCUUGAGGAAAAGCUCAGCUGCCUCAGGAGAUGAAACGACGAUGAUUGGAGCGAAUCCAAAUUGCAUGUACAUAAUCGGGCCGUGGUCUUUGGCAAUCCUGUGCAGGUCUUGGUGAGGAUUCUUCCCCAGCAUGUGUAGAUGUCCCAAAAUAGGUAUCCCUUUUGGACCUGGAGGCAGCUUCUUCUUCCUCCUCGUUGCCAAAGAAACCAAAGAACCAGCUAAAAUGGCUACGACCGUAAGCCAAAACCAAGACCAAGCAUGUGGAAGUUGACAAACACUUUAUCAAGGAAAAACCUGAAGCCAGGAUUGUGGAAUUGCCUUUUUUUUGCUCGGAGGAUCAACUUACCGAUAU
Long non-coding RNA from Salvia hispanica, 2608 nucleotides. RefSeq lists it as uncharacterized. The record is from RefSeq and is a predicted model, not a curated record. NCBI's taxonomy places the organism in Eukaryota, Viridiplantae, Streptophyta, Magnoliopsida, Lamiales, Lamiaceae.